GGUCCCGGAAGAAGAUUGUUCUGCAUUCUUACACGAACGAGGGACGUGCAGGUUGAUAAACCAGUUGGAAUUGGACCAGAGAAAGCAUUGUUAAACAUGAUAAGCUUAGUGAGGUUACCUUUGGCGCAUAAUCCUGCUGGAAUUGGACCGGUAAAUGAGUUGGAUGAAAUAUCCACCCAUUGCAAUGGCGAGUUUCUUCCAAGAUCACUUGGCAAAGGACCUGAUAAGCUGUUAUUCCAUAGCUCAACUACUUCCAGCUGAGUCAAAC
RNAcentral lists this unclassified non-coding RNA (268 nucleotides) under Hevea brasiliensis (rubber tree). The record is from RNAcentral. Lineage: Eukaryota; Viridiplantae; Streptophyta; Magnoliopsida; Malpighiales; Euphorbiaceae.